Molecule: long non-coding RNA, 626 nt
Filed under: Nicotiana benthamiana
Lineage: Eukaryota; Viridiplantae; Streptophyta; Magnoliopsida; Solanales; Solanaceae
Description: long non-coding RNA (NBEN_LNC017488)
Source: RNAcentral
AGCAAACAAAUUCUUUGUUGUUAAAAAAUCCUUGAAACAAUGAAGCUUGAACCAGAAAAGAAUUCGGCAAAAGAGAGAAAAACAAUAAGAGACCUAUAUUAGAAACCCUAGUUUUGUAGUGUUUGUGACUGUGUGCAUUCAGUGUUAGGUUGUUCUCUUCGUUGGGCCUCCUCUAAUAUCAACCUCGGAGCCCAUCCAUAUUGGGCACACAAAUCCGGCCCUGCAUCCGCAACACACCAUCAUCACCAAUAGUCACAUCUCUGGCAUCAUCAUGCUGGACCCUGUCCUUUAGGACAAGCAAAUUCGGGUCAUCAUACUGGCGCUCCCUAAUGCGAUCAUACAAAGAAGACCGAGAAACCAUACAAGCAAACACCCGACUGGGCUCAGAAAUAUCUAACCUCACCAUCCGAUUAGCCAAGGCUUGAACAUCAACUGCAAGGGGCCUCUCCCCAACUGGAAUGUACGCCAAGCUACCCAUAAUAAUCGCCUUCCGACUCAAAGCAUCGGCCACUACAUUGGCCUUUAUCAGAUGAUACAAAAUGGUAAUAUCAUAAUCGUUGACUAACUCAAGCCAUCUUCGCUGUCUCAAAUUGAGAUCAUUUUGCUUAAACAAGUGUUGAAGACUG